ACGCUCGACACCCGGGUGGCAGCAGUGGGGAAUAUUGGGCAAUGGGCGCAAGCCUGACCCAGCAACGCCGCGUGAAGGAAGAAGGCCCUCGGGUUGUAAACUUCUUUUGUCAGGGACGAAGCAAGUGACGGUACCUGACGAAUAAGCCACGGCUAACUACGUGCCAACAGCCGCGGUAAUCUGAGCGGGCUGGCAAGGC
RNAcentral lists this ribosomal RNA (199 nucleotides) under uncultured bacterium. RNAcentral's name for it is "partial 16S ribosomal RNA". It matches the Rfam family "Bacterial small subunit ribosomal RNA", at positions 328 to 539 of the family's 1533-position model. The record is from RNAcentral.